CAGUCGCCGCGGGAAUACGAAGGGUGCAAGCGUUAAUCGGAAUUACUGGGCGUAAAGCGUGCGUAGGCGGUUUGUUAAGUCUGUUGUGAAAUCCCCGGGCUCAACCUGGGAAUGGCAAUGGAUACUGGCAAGCUAGAGUGUGUCAGAGGAUGGUGGAAUUCCCGGUGUAGCGGUGGAAUGCGUAGAGAUCGGGAGGAACAUCAGUGGCGAAGGCGGCCAUCUGGGACAACACUGACGCUGAGGCACGAAAGCGUGGGGAGCAAACAGGAUUAGAUACCCCCGUAGUCCCUGUCUCUUAUAC
RNAcentral lists this ribosomal RNA (301 nucleotides) under uncultured bacterium. RNAcentral's name for it is "partial 16S ribosomal RNA". It matches the Rfam family "Bacterial small subunit ribosomal RNA", at positions 509 to 807 of the family's 1533-position model. The record is from RNAcentral.